This 898-nucleotide long non-coding RNA is filed under the name Triticum aestivum (bread wheat). RNAcentral's name for it is "long non-coding RNA (TAES_LNC026801)". The record is from RNAcentral. Lineage: Eukaryota; Viridiplantae; Streptophyta; Magnoliopsida; Poales; Poaceae.
CUACAAGUUAUAAUAAAAACGGUUAGAACUGCAACUGACUAAGGAAAUGCAGCUCUCUGCUCUCCCUGAUUGACGAACCAAAAUCCAUAUAUCUGCAAGUUGAAAAUGGUAUUAGUUAGUAUUAUGGCAUUUCCUGAAUGUAGAUGUCCUAGUGUUGGAUGUUUUCUUUCUAGUACUAUCCACAGGAUAGCAGAAAAGAAAGGUUGUGAGCAACAGCAGAAUAACCAAAAGGUCACAUAACAUAAAAGAACAAAGUAUGCAACCUGAUCUGGAGCGCCCAACAUCCAAAAGCUUGCUGAUAUCCUCCUUCACAUGGCAUUGCUGUUUUUAGAGAGAAUGGAGUAAAGAUCGGGCAAUUUAGAAUCCUAAUGUUUUUAGAGAAAAUUAAUGAAUGGAAAAGACAAGUGGCUAGUAUAAUCUGCAUUCCAGUACAGCAAACUCAUACCAUGAGCAAAAGAUCAUGGUUCUCACAACCAAGUGAACUAAACUCACCGAAGAGGGCUAGGAGCAGCAGUUUUGCUCCUUGUAGAGGCACUAGGAGGUGUUGAAGCAAUUGCAAUAGCUGCUGCCCUUUGCCUUGUCAUUGGACUUGUAGGAGUACCAAGUUGAGUACCUUGCUUAGUUGGUGUAAUAGGAGAAGAAGUAGCUGCAAUGCUUGCUUCAACCUUUGAUUUUUUUCCUAUAGUUCAAUACAACAUUAUUAGCAAUUAAUAUGCAAGACAUUUGGCAACAAGUGAAAGGAAUUUAGACUCAUGAAAUAAUUACCGUGGAGGAGGAGUAGCAUCUCGGUCCGCGUCACUUUCAAUCUCUGGCUCCUUGCAUGUCUUCCGAAGAUGACCUAAUGCUCCACACCUUUUGCUAGUUGUCUCCAUGCAACUCUAAAUGCUUUAGAGUUAGG